CCUACGGGUGGCAGCAGUGGGGAAUAUUGGGCAAUGGGCGCAAGCCUGACCCAGCAACGCCGCGUGAAGGAAGAAGGCUUUCGGGUUGUAAACUUCUUUUCUCAGGGACGAAGCAAGUGACGGUACCUGAGGAAUAAGCCACGGCUAACUACGUGCCAGCAGCCGCGGUAAUACGUAGGGGGCAAGCGUUAUCCGGAUUUACUGGGUGUAAAGGGCGUGGAGGCGGGAAAGCAAGUCAGAUGUGAAAACCAUGGGCUCAACCUGUGGCCUGCAUUUGAAACUGUUUUUCUUGAGUACUGGGGAGGCAGACGGAAUUCCUAGUGUAGCGGUGAAAUGCGUAGAUAUUAGGAGGACCACUAGUGGCGAAGGCGGUCUGCUGGACAGCACCUGACGCUGAGGCGCGAAAGCGUGGGGAGCAAACAGGAUUAGAUACCCCAGUAGUC
Molecule: ribosomal RNA, 443 nt
Filed under: uncultured bacterium
Lineage: Bacteria
Description: partial 16S ribosomal RNA
Rfam family: Bacterial small subunit ribosomal RNA
Source: RNAcentral